Molecule: non-coding RNA, 77 nt
Organism: Podarcis lilfordi (Lilford's wall lizard)
Lineage: Eukaryota; Metazoa; Chordata; Lepidosauria; Squamata; Lacertidae
Source: the annotation of a GenBank genome assembly
UGGGGAGGGCCAUAGCUCAGUGGCAGAGCAUCCACUUUGCAUGCAGAAGGUCGCGGGUUCAAUCCUGGCCUCUCCAG